GGAAGCCAGCAGCCAGGUCUUGAGGACACUCAGGCAGCCUGUGGAGAGGUCCAUAUAACAAGUAACCCAGGGCUUCUGCCAAUAGCCAUAUGAGUGAGCCAUCUUGGAGGAGGACCCUCCAGCCAUAGUCAGGUCUUAAGCUGAGUGCAGCUCUAGCAGAGGUCUCGCUGCAUCCUAAUGGGGGACCCUGAGCCAGAAACACCUGGCUAACACGUCCUGAGCUCCUGGCCCACAGAAACUGUGCGAGAUAACAAAUGUUUAUUGCUUGAAGUCACUAAGUUAUGAGUCAACUAAAGCAGAUGCUGGCUGAGUCACAGCGUGAUGAAGCAUUGCUAACCCAAGACGUGAAUCGAGAGCACGUGGGGGAUACUGCUUUUAUGCUGAACUAGGAAGACAGCAGCCGCCAUCAAAGCCAGAAUCGAACAUAAAAUUUAACAAUCAAACACGACAAAAACAGUUUAAAAAUGGAUUUGUACUUUGUUUAUCAUCUGUUCCCCCAUGUUAGAAUGUUAGCUCUAUGAGAACAGAGCUUUCACUUCUGCUUCCUCUCCACUGUGUCUUCAGGACAACAAACACUGCC
Molecule: long non-coding RNA, 580 nt
Filed under: Equus caballus (horse)
Lineage: Eukaryota; Metazoa; Chordata; Mammalia; Perissodactyla; Equidae
Description: lncRNA (ENSECAG00000042751.2)
Source: RNAcentral